Pseudopipra pipra is the source of this 1055-nucleotide long non-coding RNA. RefSeq lists it as uncharacterized. The transcript is spliced from 2 exons. Lineage: Eukaryota; Metazoa; Chordata; Aves; Passeriformes; Pipridae. The record is from RefSeq and is a predicted model, not a curated record.
AUUGUGGAGAUCUCAGCACACUCUUCAGGGGGAUACACCUUGGCUUUUACCUUCUAAUGUAGAACUAGUAUAAAGUGAUGCAAAUAAAUGAGAUUAUGCUGUGUCUUUUUAAGAAGCUUAUGGCUUUCACGAAUUCUUGCGAGUUUUUUACACUAUGAAAGCUGAAUUCCUUUAUACAAUUGUCAGGUCAGGUCAAUUUAAAAAUUUCCUUGCAAUAAGUCUGACUACUAAUUUACUUACAGUUUACAUUGCUCUGUGAAAGCCUACAGACAUAAUGGCCUGGCUGGAAACAACAAAAAAUAUAUAAAUGAAUAUACAUGUAUAUAUUUGUCAUUAGGAACUAGUUACAUCCAAGUGCCACUGUAACCUGUCUGUAAUUAUUAAAAUAUCUUCUAGGACCUCAUCUGUCCUUAGGAUAGAAGAUUUCCUGCCUUUCUACUUUUUAUUUAAGGGGAUUCCUGUUUCAUGGCUCCAAGAGGUAAAUGUUGAUCACACAGGACCAAAAUAAGACUGCCAUUAGAAGAAAACGGCCAAGCUGGCACACGCAGAGAUCAACAACCACUGCCAUUCCCACCGACGUCAAAUCCACCGGUAAAACCUCUGAUGUGCAACGCCAGUGCAGAACCUGCAACAGCACCACACACAGUACAAGGCUACCAUGGCUUUCCAGUCAGUGGCAGCUCUGGCCAUCCUCAUGCAGGACACAACGGCCCUGUAAAUGAGGAAGCCAUUUCCCUGCCCUCCAGCGCCAAGUCCAGCCCACAGACACCACGGGAGGGACUGGGGAAGGAGGAGGAUGAGCACGGCCAUCUUCUCCGCUCCUCCUCGACAGCCUCCUGUGAGAUAACCCAGUGUGUCUCGCCAGAGAAGCAUCACGGCAGUGGUGAGUCAAAGGCACUGGUCCUGGAAAGGAUACACCUCCAAAAUCAACAUCCAGUGCUUCCCAGCUGACAGGGCAGGGCUGUGCUGGGGAAGGAGGACAGGCUCCGCCGAAAGGACCAGCUGCUACAGGGACACACUACGGCUGUGAAUCUUUCAUUAAACUUUGCAAGACA